GAUGAACGCUGGCGGCGUGCCUAAUACAUGCAAGUCGAGCGAACAGACGAGGAGCUUGCUCCUCUGACGUUAGCGGCGGACGGGUGAGUAACACGUGGAUCACCUACCUAUAUGACUGGGAUAACUUCGGGAAACCGGAGCUAAUACCGGAUAAUAUAUUGAACCGCAUGGUUCAAUAGUGAAAGACGGUUUUGCUGUCACUUAUAGAUGGAUCCGCGCCGCAUUAGCUAGUUGGUAAGGUAACGGCUUACCAAGGCAACGAUGCGUAGCCGACCUGAGAGGGUGAUCGGCCACACUGGAACUGAGACACGGUCCAGACUCCUACGGGAGGCAGCAGUAGGGAAUCUUCCGCAAUGGGCGAAAGCCUGACGGAGCAACGCCGCGUGAGUGAUGAAGGUCUUCGGAUCGUAAAACUCUGUUAUUAGGGAAGAACAAAUGUGUAAGUAACUAUGCACGUCUUGACGGUACCUAAUCAGAAAGCCACGGCUAACUACGUG
This 497-nucleotide ribosomal RNA is filed under the name uncultured bacterium. RNAcentral's name for it is "partial 16S ribosomal RNA". It matches the Rfam family "Bacterial small subunit ribosomal RNA", at positions 28 to 507 of the family's 1533-position model. The record is from RNAcentral.